UCCCUGGUUGCUCAGAUGGUAAAGAAUCUGCCUGCAAGGCAGGUGACCCAGGUUCAAUCCCUGGGUUGGGAA
Molecule: transfer RNA, 72 nt
Organism: Ovis aries (sheep)
Lineage: Eukaryota; Metazoa; Chordata; Mammalia; Artiodactyla; Bovidae
Rfam family: tRNA
About the family: Transfer RNA (tRNA) molecules are approximately 80 nucleotides in length. Their secondary structure includes four short double-helical elements and three loops (D, anti-codon, and T loops). Further hydrogen bonds mediate the characteristic L-shaped molecular structure. tRNAs have two regions of fundamental functional importance: the anti-codon, which is responsible for specific mRNA codon recognition, and the 3' end, to which the tRNAs corresponding amino acid is attached (by aminoacyl-tRNA synthetases). tRNAs cope with the degeneracy of the genetic code in two manners: having more than one tRNA (with a specific anti-codon) for a particular amino acid; and 'wobble' base-pairing, i.e. permitting non-standard base-pairing at the 3rd anti-codon position.
Source: Rfam